RNAcentral lists this unclassified non-coding RNA (324 nucleotides) under soil metagenome. RNAcentral describes it as "partial contains 5.8S ribosomal RNA, internal transcribed spacer 2, and large subunit ribosomal RNA". The stretch from base 1 to 120 matches the Rfam family "5.8S ribosomal RNA", at positions 35 to 154 of the family's 154-position model. The record is from RNAcentral.
GAUGAAGAACGUAGCAAAAUGCGAUAAGUAAUGUGAAUUGCAGAAUUCAGUGAAUCAUCGAAUCUUUGAACGCAACUUGCGCCCUUUGGUAUUCCGAAGGGCAUGCCUGUUUGAGUGUCAUAUAAACCUCACCUCUACUGUUUUUCAUUAGACAUGUGGAUUGGUGCUUUGGGUGUCUGCCGUUUACUCUGGCUCGCCUUAAAUGUCUAAGUGGAAUGCGUAAUAAGUCUUCGCAACCCUCCACUCUAAUACAAAACUUUUAUAUUCUGACCUCAAAUCAGGUAGGACUACCCGCUGAACUUAAGCAUAUCAAUAAGCGGAGGA